CCUACGGGCGGCAGCAGUGAGGAAUAUUGGUCAAUGGCCGUAAGGCUGAACCAGCCAAGUAGCGUGAGGGAAGACUGCCCUAUGGGUUGUAAACCUCUUUUAUGCGGGGAUAAAGGUGUCCACGUGUGGAUGUUUGCAGGUACUGCAUGAAUAAGGAUCGGCUAAUUCCGUGCCAGCAGCCGCGGUAAUACGGAAGGUCCGGGCGUUAUCCGGAUUUAUUGGGGUUAAAGGGAGCGUAGGUGGGUUUUUAAGCGUGCUGUGAAAGUUUGCGGCUCAACCAUGAAAGUGCGGUGGGAACUGGCGGCCUUGAGUACACGGAAGGUAGGCGGAAUUCGUGGUGUAGCGGUGAAAUGCUUAGAUAUCACGAAGAACCCCGAUUGCGAAGGCAGCCUACUAAAGCGUUACUGACACUGAUGCUCGAAAGCGCGGGUAUCGAACAGGAUUAGAUACCCUUGUAGUC
This 460-nucleotide ribosomal RNA is filed under the name uncultured bacterium. RNAcentral's name for it is "partial 16S ribosomal RNA". It matches the Rfam family "Bacterial small subunit ribosomal RNA", at positions 338 to 795 of the family's 1533-position model. The record is from RNAcentral.